RNAcentral lists this transfer RNA (73 nucleotides) under Camelus ferus (Wild Bactrian camel). It matches the Rfam family "tRNA". From Rfam's summary of the family: Transfer RNA (tRNA) molecules are approximately 80 nucleotides in length. The record is from Rfam by way of RNAcentral. Lineage: Eukaryota; Metazoa; Chordata; Mammalia; Artiodactyla; Camelidae.
GAAGGUAUAGCUCAAGCCGUAGAGCAUAUGCUCAGCAUGUAUAAGGUCCUGGGUUCAAUCCCCAGUACUUCCU